Molecule: small RNA, 102 nt
Filed under: Marmota monax (woodchuck)
Lineage: Eukaryota; Metazoa; Chordata; Mammalia; Rodentia; Sciuridae
Source: RNAcentral
GCUGGGUGUGGUGGUGCAUGCCUGUAAUCCCAGCAACUCUGGAGGCUAAGGCAGGAGGAUCACAAUUGGAGCCCAGGAUUUGCAACUUAGACUCUUUCUUAA